AGAGUUUGAUCAUGGCUCAGGAUGAACGCUAGCGGCAGGCCUAAUACAUGCAAGUCGGACGGGAUCCAUCGGAGAGCUUGCUCGAAGAUGGUGAGAGUGGCGCACGGGUGCGUAACGCGUGAGCAACCUACCUCUAUCAGGGGGAUAGCCUCUCGAAAGAGAGAUUAACACCGCAUAACAUCAACAGUUCGCAUGUUCGGUUGAUUAAAUAUUUAUAGGAUAGAGAUGGGCUCGCGUGACAUUAGCUAGUUGGUAGGGUAACGGCCUACCAAGGCGACGAUGUCUAGGGGCUCUGAGAGGAGAAUCCCCCACACUGGUACUGAGACACGGACCAGACUCCUACGGGAGGCAGCAGUAAGGAAUAUUGGUCAAUGGGCGGAAGCCUGAACCAGCCAUGCCGCGUGCAGGACGACUGCCCUAUGGGUUGUAAACUGCUUUUGUCCAGGAAUAAACCUAAAUACGUGUAUUUAGCUGAAUGUACUGGAAGAAUAAGGAUCGGCUAACUCCGUGCCAGCAGCCGCGGUAAUUC
RNAcentral lists this ribosomal RNA (529 nucleotides) under uncultured bacterium. RNAcentral's name for it is "bacterial SSU rRNA". It matches the Rfam family "Bacterial small subunit ribosomal RNA", at positions 8 to 526 of the family's 1533-position model. The record is from RNAcentral.